Molecule: ribosomal RNA, 385 nt
Filed under: uncultured bacterium
Lineage: Bacteria
Description: bacterial SSU rRNA
Rfam family: Bacterial small subunit ribosomal RNA
Source: RNAcentral
ACAAUGGGCGCAAGCCUGAUGCAGCCAUGCCGCGUGUAUGAAGAAGGCCUUCGGGUUGUAAAGCCCUAUCGGCAGGGAAGAAGGAGGACGGUACCUGACUAAGAAGCCCCGGCUAACUACGUGCCAGCAGCCGCGGUAAUACGUAGGGGGCAAGCGUUAUCCGGAUUUACUGGGUGUAAAGGGGGCGCAGACGGCAGCGCAAGCCAGGAGUGAAAGCCCGGGGCCCAACCCCGGGACUGCUCUUGGAACUGCGCGGCUGGAGUGCAGGAGGGGCAGGCGGAAUUCCUGGUGUAGCGGUGAAAUGCGUAGAUAUCAGGAGGAACACCGGUGGCGAAGGCGGCCUGCUGGACUGCGACUGACGUUGAGGCCCGAAAGCGUGGGGAGC